RNAcentral lists this long non-coding RNA (3530 nucleotides) under Citrus x clementina. RNAcentral's name for it is "Citrus clementina (C. clementina) long non-coding RNA (CCLE_LNC001536)". The record is from RNAcentral. Lineage: Eukaryota; Viridiplantae; Streptophyta; Magnoliopsida; Sapindales; Rutaceae.
UCUAAAUCAAACUUCUAAAUCAAAAUUUCUAAAUCAAAAUUUCAUUAUCAUAUAACAAAAAAUAAUAGAAUAAAUAAAAAAUCACUCUUUACCAGCUGGGUAUUUUACUUCAAGCUGGUGAUGAACUACUCCUACUAGCCUGCUAAUGCCGUUUUCCUGCUUCUAAAAUGAGAAAAAAAAACUCAACUCAAUCCUUUCACGUGAAUGAGCAAAUACUCUUGCCCUAAUGCCGUUCUCUCUACUUGUGAAAUGAGAGAAAAAUCUCAACUCAGUUAGUGCUUUUCGACAGCUAGAAUCAAAUGUGGGGGAGAAAGAGUAAAAAAUGUGGAAAAAGCAAAAGUAUCAAGAAAAAAUAAAAGGGGCAAAAGUUCACGUGGUGGAGGGUGGGGCCGAGAGAAACGACAUUACUGUAUGUCGUUUCUCUCUGAAAUGCAAGUUAUGCAACUUAAGAGGGGGGUGAAUUGAGAUUUUAAAAUUUAUGCAAUACAAUUCGCACAAUAAUUUAAUCUAUUGCCUUAAUCAAAUCAAAAUAAUAAAUCCAAUCAAGCACAAUAUUAAAAGAGUAAGGGAAGAGAAAACAAACACAAAGAUUUUUACGUGAUUCGGCUAUCCCUGCCUACGUCCACGCCUCCAAGCUCACCCGGCUUAAGGAUUUAACUAUCCAAGCCUCCUAAGGUUUCAAAUGUUUACAAUUAACUUCCAGGGUGUCAAUGGACCUUUACAACAAGAGAUUAUAUCCCCAAUCUCUUCACCCCAAGUGUUUCCCACACUUGUACACUCACAAUUUGAUGAGAAAUAAAAAUCACAACAAUGAAACUCUCUUUAAGAGUGGAUAACAAAUUAUAGCUCAAUAAUGAUUCAAUAAAUGAUGAUUUACGAAAUGGAAGCUCAAUAUAUGUUAUAUGAUCUUAUAUUUACUUGUGUUAGUUCUUAGAAUGAAGUUUGAGUUGAGUUUUUAUAGUAAAAGUCCAAAAACUAGCCGUUAUAGGCAAAUUCCCGUGCUCAAGCGGUUAGCCGCUUGAUUAUCCGGCUAGCCACUCAGGAACAAUGAUAUUACCGUUAUUUUUUAAUUUUGCUACAGUAAUAGUGUUAGCUAAAAUUAAACUUUAACCCAAAACUUUCUAUAAUUAUACUAUGGCCCAAAAUGUCAUAAAACUUUACAAAUAGGUCCAAUUUCAGAACUUCCUAAAAAUAAUUGUCUUUCCCAAACUUUCUGAAAUUAUGAUAUGGCCCCAAAAAUUUUAUUAUGUCGCACAAAGGUCCUUUUCAACAUAAUACCCAUAUUUUUCAAAGUUCUCAAAAUCUUUCACUUUAGUCCAAAAUAUUCAUAAAUUAUAGUAUGGCCCAAAACAUUUCAAAUGUUUAUAAAAACGUCCAACUCUGAAAUUUAAUACUUAUUUAAAAUCAAAGAUUUCAAAUCUUAGCAUUUAAGUCCAAAUUACUUAAAUCCACAAAAUACUUUACUUUAUAAAAAUAAAACCUUUUAGUUUAUGCAAAGUAUUUAAUUAAAUUAAUCUUUUGAGUUUCUCGAAUGCUAAAUCAUACAUCAAUUAAAUCAUACUGGCUUUACAAGAAUUUAUUGCACUAAUUUGUUCGUUGAGCUCUAAACUAUAUUCUUGAUGUUGCCAUUGUCCGUUGAGUGUCUUCAAUCUUGAUUUCACUUGAUUCACUUGCAUAAAUAUUAUCUUUAAAAAAUUAGUGAAAAUGUGAAAUACAAUAUUUAUUAAAUCACUCAAUACAUAUGUUUGUUAUCAUCAAAAUUACAUCAUGUAUAGCCCUUUAGGCUAACACUCUCGGCAUUCUCUCAGCAUUCUCGAUGAGAAGCAUUUUCCUAUAUAUAUAUAUAUAUAUAAACACAUAAAUUGCAUUAUGAGCACUAUUCAUGUAUGAGAUUAUAUAUACUUCAUUUGCACUAGUUACAUUGCAUUGUGAGAACUAUUCAUGUAUGAGAUUGCUUUAUUCAUUUUCAAGGUAGGAAUGCAAACCUUUGUUAUUUUUCAUUUCUUUAUUUUUAAACUUAGGUCCUAUUUCAUGUUGAAGUAUUGCAACUUAAAAAUUUUAACCACUCUAGAAAAAAAAUUGUAACUAUGAAAUAAAAGUUAAUAUUAUAUAUUAAAUAAAAUUUUUAAUUAAUAAUUUUGACAAAAUUAAUAAAUAUAUUAUAAAUUUUUUAUCAUACAAGUAUAAAAUUAAAUUAAUUUAACUUUCAAGUUAUAGUAACUAAUAUUUACCCAAUACUUUAAUAUUAUAACUUAAAAGUUAUAACUGUCCAAUCUUAAUCCUAGACAAAACCUAUAAAAAGUCAUAAUUGCAUUAAAUUUUGUUGUAACCAAAUUCAUCCCGCUCUUAUUCAUUUAAUGUGGCUCAAUGGCCCAAGAGGGUAAAACUAUUUACUUUUUGUUUUUUGAAAAGUUAGGGGUGGAUAAAAUCCAACUUUUAUCCUCUUUUUUUCAAGAUUUGAAUUCAUGUAGAUGGUAAAAUAAAACUAUUUGCAAUCACUAAUCUACACUCACACAUGCACCAAAAAAUAAAAGUAAAACUUAUUGAAAUUAAAUAAGUCUCCGUAAAAUUAAUUUUACCAAAGCUAAAUAAUCAAAUACAGUAUCUUAGGAUUCUUUUCAGUAUUUACCAGCACAUAAUCUUUAUUCUUUCCUUAUAUGUAUGAUUUAGAUUUUUACCAUCUUUGAAUCACAUAACGAUCUUGAUUCUUAAUAUGUAUACAUCAUUCAAUGCUAAUCUUCAAGUCGCAACUACAAAUGGCCUUGCUUACUUAUGUGAUUCUUAUGAGUGACCCUAUGGCAGCAGUCUGAGAGGUACGGUUGACGCAAAUUGAGAAAAUAUUUGUUUCUUAGGAUGCAAGAAAAAUUGUUAGGGUUUUUGGGGGGGGGGGGUUAUGAAGGUGUUGUUGGAUCAUAAACUUGAUCCAAGAUGAAUAAAUUCAAGCCCAACUCAUGGAAGGUUCCAUGAGUAGGUAUGGUUGGUGAGUUUUGAAUUAUUUGUGUUAGGUGUGGUAGGUUUGACAGGUGAAGAUGAAUGGUUAUUAUUUUUUUGUAAUUUCUUAUUUGAAUGAUUGUGAUUAGUUUGUUUCAUGUAUAAAUACCCCUUCUCCCCUUUGGUUUAAGUAUCUAGUGAAAUAACAAAAUCUCUAAUUUGUAGAGAAUGAAAAAUAAGAGUUGUAGUUGGUGAAGAGUGUUGUUAAAGAAAUAAAAUACUGUGUUUUUUGAGUAUUUAAUUUGUUAAUUCUCUAACAGGUGCAUCAUAUCAUUGGUGAUUGUCCUGACUGUACAUGAUUUCUCUGUGCUUCACUUAACUCUCAUAACAUUACAAUUGGUGGUCAAUAAGUUUGGGAUAGGACUAAUUCCUAUCCUCUGUUUGGUACAUACAUAGCUUUGGAAUAAAUUAGGGCCCACAAAAUUAUCUCAUAAACUUAAGAAAAUUAAUCCCAUGAGCCCUUGGGAUAAAGUUACUAAGACAAACAGUGCCGAACUUAUUUUUUGUUAAAAAAAGAAUUAAGAGUCAAGAUUUAUAUU